UAAUACCAGCUACUUACCCCAUACUCACCAACUAAACACCAGCUACUUACCCCAUACUUACCAACUAAACAC
Molecule: non-coding RNA, 72 nt
Organism: Pangasianodon gigas (Mekong giant catfish)
Lineage: Eukaryota; Metazoa; Chordata; Actinopteri; Siluriformes; Pangasiidae
Source: the annotation of a GenBank genome assembly